CAUUUACAACCAAUUGGUUUUGC
RNAcentral lists this non-coding RNA (23 nucleotides) under Gossypium hirsutum (cotton). The record is from RNAcentral. Lineage: Eukaryota; Viridiplantae; Streptophyta; Magnoliopsida; Malvales; Malvaceae.